AUGAUGAGUGGGUCGUUGGAUGGA
RNAcentral lists this non-coding RNA (24 nucleotides) under Arabidopsis thaliana (thale cress). The record is from RNAcentral. Lineage: Eukaryota; Viridiplantae; Streptophyta; Magnoliopsida; Brassicales; Brassicaceae.